RNAcentral lists this ribosomal RNA (253 nucleotides) under uncultured bacterium. RNAcentral's name for it is "partial 16S ribosomal RNA". It matches the Rfam family "Bacterial small subunit ribosomal RNA", at positions 524 to 776 of the family's 1533-position model. The record is from RNAcentral.
UACGAAGGGGGCUAGCGUUGUUCGGAUUUACUGGGCGUAAAGCGCACGUAGGCGGAUUUGUCAGUCAGGGGUGAAAUCCCGGGGCUCAACCUCGGAACUGCCUCUGAUACAGCAAAUCUCGAGUCCGGAAGAGGUGAGUGGAACUCCUAGUGUAGAGGUGAAAUUCGUAGAUAUUAGGAAGAACACCAGUGGCGAAGGCGGCUCACUGGUCCGGAACUGACGCUGAGGUGAGAAAGCGUGGGGAGCAAACAGG